GUGCCAGCAGCCGCGGUAAUACGUAGGGUGCGAGCGUUAAUCGGAAUUACUGGGCGUAAAGCGUGCGUAGGCGGUUCGUUAAGUGCGUCGUGAAAGCCCCGGGCUCAACCUGGGAAUGGCGAUGGAAACUGGCGGGCUGGAGUAUGGCAGAGGGGGGUGGAAUUCCGCGUGUAGCAGUGAAAUGCGUAGAGAUGCGGAGGAACACCGAUGGCGAAGGCAGCCCCCUGGGCCAAUACUGACGCUCAGGCACGAAAGCGUGGGGAGCAAACAGGAUUAGAUACCCUGGUAGUCCACGCCCUAAACGAUGCUCACUAGGUGUUGGGGGAGCGAUUCCUUGGUACCGUAGCUAACGCGUGAAGUGAGCCGCCUGGGGAGUACGGCCGCAAGGUUAAA
Molecule: ribosomal RNA, 393 nt
Filed under: uncultured bacterium
Lineage: Bacteria
Description: bacterial SSU rRNA
Rfam family: Bacterial small subunit ribosomal RNA
Source: RNAcentral